RNAcentral lists this ribosomal RNA (120 nucleotides) under uncultured bacterium. Its description in RNAcentral is "partial 16S ribosomal RNA". It matches the Rfam family "Bacterial small subunit ribosomal RNA", at positions 215 to 334 of the family's 1533-position model. The record is from RNAcentral.
GCGCUUUAAGAUUAGCCUACGUCCGAUUAGCUAGUUGGUGGGGUAAAGGCUUACCAAGGCGACGAUCGGUAGCUGGUCUGAGAGGAUGGACAGCCACACUGGGACUGAGACACGGCCCAG